CCUACGGGUGGCAGCAGUGGGGAAUAUUGCACAAUGGGCGCAAGCCUGAUGCAGCGACGCCGCGUGCGGGAUGGAGGCCUUCGGGUUGUAAACCGCUUUUGUUCAAGGGCAAGGCACGGUCUUUGGCCGUGUUGAGUGGAUUGUUCGAAUAAGCACCGGCUAACUACGUGCCAGCAGCCGCGGUAAUACGUAGGGUGCAAGCGUUAUCCGGAUUUAUUGGGCGUAAAGGGCUCGUAGGCGGUUCGUCGAGUCCGGGGGGAAAGUUCAUGGCUUAACGGUGGAUGCGCACGGGGUACGGGCGGGCUGGAGUGCGGUAGAGGAGACUGGAAUUCCAGGUGUAGCGGUGGAAUGUGUAGAUAUCGGGAAGAACACCAAGGGCGAAGGCAGGUCUCUGGGCCGUUACUGACGCUGAGGAGCGAAAGCGUGGGGAGCGAACAGGAUUAGAUACCCCUGUAGUC
RNAcentral lists this ribosomal RNA (458 nucleotides) under uncultured bacterium. RNAcentral describes it as "partial 16S ribosomal RNA". It matches the Rfam family "Bacterial small subunit ribosomal RNA", at positions 338 to 795 of the family's 1533-position model. The record is from RNAcentral.